GAGGCUCAGCCGCUCGCGGUGGAGAAAGCAGGCCGCGGAGGAGGCGGGCGCCCAGGCCUGCCCGGACAGGAAGUGGGCCCAGCUUUCCCACUCCUCGCUCCGCUCCUUCCUCCGCGGGAAGGGCAGGCCCCGGAGGCAGCGAGCGCCCCGGGGGUGGCCGGGCAGCCGGAUGCUCCCGGGGUUGCGGGCUGUGGCCCCGGGGGCUGAGGGCGGCGCGGGUGCGGCGGAAGCAGGGAAGCCGCGAACCGGCCUUCUGGCUGGCCACAGCGCCCUGCACGGACGAUCAGUGAAUGGAGAUUACUCAAGUAUUUAUCGAGAACUUGCAGUGGGCUAGGCACAGUUCAGGAAAUGACAAAGUAAUGCCUAGAUUGGACUAAACCUCAUUUAACUUCAAGGCUGACCUUUCUCAAAGUUGAACCUUCGUCUUGUGAGGAACAGAAAGAUCAAGAACUCUGAAGCACCUCGACUUUCCACCUGUGAAGAUGUGUUCAAAUUUGCAACGUGCGGCCACACCUAUGAGGUCACUCCCUCUGGAGGAAACCAGCUGCCACUUUGUGAGGAUACUCAUAGUCCUGUGGAGGCAUAUCCUCCAUAUGGCUGAGACCUCCUGCGAACAACCAUCACUGACUUGCCAGACAUGAGUGUGCCACCUUGGAAGCAGAUUUUCCAGCCCCAGUUAAGCCUUCAGAUGACAUCAGCCCCUGCUAAUCUCUUGACUACAACCUCAUGAGAGACCCUGAGCCAGAACUAGCCAGGCUUACCCCUCAUGGUUACAAAGUGGCUGCAACAGCUCCAGGUGUUCUAUCCUUUAACACAGAAUAACUCAAACAACAAGACCCAAUAUUCAGACAAGAAGGAAAGGGACUUUUGGAGAGUGAAGAAAACUUUCCUAGAAACCUCAAACUUCUCCCCAUGCCUUAUUGGCCAGAUUGUAUCCCAUGCCCAUUUCUAAACCAAUCAUUGGCAAAGUGAGUGGAAUUGACGUGAUUAGAUUAACUUUACCAAGAAUGCAUCCUCAGAGAGGCUGAGAAAAAGUCCAGCCUCCUUUGAAGAGCCUGGCUACCUUUCACCUGAACAAAACAAGAAUUCUGAUGAAAAAUGGAGAAUGUAUGUGGAGCAGGCACCCGGAGUGUCUAUGCCAGGAUUUUUUUUCAGUGCGUUUCACCGGUUAUAUUUUUGUCUCUUUACCUUACAAGAUAUGUGGCACGUUUGCCUAAAACAAGCCUUGCUUUCUGAUUUCUGUGCACUAGGCACUUAAACCUUGCAAAUGUCGCUUACCUAACAGUCACUGUCAAGGAGUACCUGGCUAAAGAAUCUCCAGCUAGACAAAGUAGAAGUGUCUGUGCUCUGGCAGUUGAAUAUAUUGUAUCAGGCUCAACAGCACCUUUCACCAAAGGAUGAGACUUCACAACCAUUAGAUCUUCUUUUAUUUUGUUUUUAUUAAAAAAAAAAAUUUUAACACACCAUUGCUAACUUGAAGCCAUUAGAUCUUCUUACCCCCAAUACCACAAAAGUUUAGUGGAAUCAGGGGUAUACCAAGGCAGGUGGAGUAGGGGAGCUGGGAGUGGUCAGCCCCCAGGGCAGGCAAUGAGGGAUUGUGAAUCUGUGAAGAAUUUUAAAGCAAUGAUACAGCUCUAAAUGCAAUGUACUAUCCUGGACUUAGCCCUGGAAAAGAAAAAAGAUAUUAGUGGAAAAACUGGUAAAAUUCAAAUAAUGUCUGUAGUUUGGUUAAUAGUAUUAUACCAAUGUUAAUUUCUGUGUUUUGAUAAAUGUACCAUGGUUAUGUAAGCUGGAUGAAAGAUAUGUGGGAAAUCUCUCUACUAUUUCUGCAACUCUCCUGUAAACCUAAAAAUGUUUCAAAAUAAAA
Molecule: long non-coding RNA, 1867 nt
Organism: Homo sapiens (human)
Lineage: Eukaryota; Metazoa; Chordata; Mammalia; Primates; Hominidae
Gene: TRAM2-AS1
Product: TRAM2 antisense RNA 1 (head to head)
Source: Ensembl